GCAAUCUGUCAACGGCGAGAUGAAAGGUCGGUUGGUCGCUGCAAGCCUGCAACAGAGGACCUUAUCGAAGCCUGGUCUGAGUAAUUCUUGGUCGCUGCAAGCCUGCAACAGAGAGGGGAGGGCGGAAGAGAUGAAAGGAAAUUAAGUAUGGAUCUGGCGGGCGUUGGAGUUUACAAGUCAAGUCUCUAAUAAAAGGUGUCAUCCGAGGUCAAAGGGUUUGGGUUAUGUAUUUUAUCUUGGAUAAGAUACAUGGCUUGAAACCUAGUUUGGUUAUGUCUUUUGUGAAGUCCAAUAUGGAACUUUAAGCUUUGGUAGUCAUGUGUUCUAAACUUAAAAUCUUAGUUUGAUGUUAAACAAUGACGGUUGUAUUAUUUUGAAAAUUUUCUAUGGAUGAACAUCUUGGUUUA
Helianthus annuus (common sunflower) is the source of this 407-nucleotide long non-coding RNA. RefSeq lists it as uncharacterized. The record is from RefSeq and is a predicted model, not a curated record. The transcript has 2 exons. Lineage: Eukaryota; Viridiplantae; Streptophyta; Magnoliopsida; Asterales; Asteraceae.